AUGGCAAGAAACAAGCCCAGCUAAGGCUGGACAUUUAUAAUUAAGAAUAAGUCUCCAUCUGUAAUUUAUUUGGAGCUGGGUGGUGGGCCCCCCAAAAGGGCAAAAACAACCAACAGACAGCAAAGAUGCCACCGAAGGAAAAUGCAUCGCAUGAGGAACCAGGUUCUGAUUCCUGUACUCCAGAGCUCAGUAAAGGGGGCCUCCACCUGGAGUGCAGCCACUUCUCAGCUGUAAGACAAGAUGGCUGCUUUCCAGCUAUGCCAUUCCUAAGCUGUCCUGGAGGUUCUCAGGAACAUGGUUCAUGGUGAAUCUACAAGAAGGUGCUGUCUAACUGUAGGUACUCAACAAUGGCAUUACCUGAGAGUGUGUUAGACUCUGAGGCCCCACCCCAGAACUGCUGAACAGAAUCUGUACUUUAACAAUGUUCCCGGGGAAUCUGAGAUCAGAAGAGCA
Non-coding RNA from Peromyscus maniculatus bairdii (prairie deer mouse), 453 nucleotides. Lineage: Eukaryota; Metazoa; Chordata; Mammalia; Rodentia; Cricetidae. The record is from RefSeq and is a predicted model, not a curated record.